AUUCUUUAAUCCUUUAGAGGAUUGGAACUGAUUUCAGUUGAGGCACAUGUUUGCUAGGUUUCUGUGCAUUUGCACAGGAAGAUAUUGAGUGUUUGCAUUCAUUUCAGGGAUCCCUACGCAGUGGAGCUCCUCAACAUAACAGAAAUGCAAUUACUUUUGUUAAAGGAAGAGGUUUAUAAGGGGGCCCUUGGGCUUGAACCAAGGACCAUUUGAUUUGCAGUCAAACACUCUACCACUGAGCUACACCCCCAUAACUGCUGUGGAGCAAGGAGAAGAAGAAGAAGCUCUCCCUCGAGCUGGAGUCACACGGGCGAGGGAUGGCUACUUGCAGCCCAGGAGAAGAAGUGGGGUUCUGGGUGAAAGGAAAACAAGCAAAGCUGAGUCCAAGCGGAGAAUGGCUGCUCCUUUAUGGCCAACCUGGGGGCAUGACUGAUGGUUCUAGAGGUGGAGGCUGGCCUGGCUGUGAGCAACUGGGAUCCAGGAAACCCCCGCCUGCCCUUCUGAGGGCAAAACCCAUGGAGGUGCGGUUGGCUGCUGGGAGAUAGACCCCUGUGGCUGCCUGUUGGCAUCCCAGGGAUGGGUCCUUGCAGCCCAGGAGAAGCGGGGUUCUGGGUGGAAGGAAAAGAAGCAAUGGUGAGGCAGAGUAGGCUCCUUUCUGUCCAAGAUGGUGGGCUGUGGUGAGUCUGGGAGUUGCCUGUAAGCCAUAAGUGGACAUAGUGCAGUGAAAACUGCUGCUCCAUUCUGGCCGACCGCGGGGCACCAUGGAUCACUUGGGAGUAGGGGCAGGGCGCUGGCUGUGAGCAAAUGAGAUCCAGGAAGCCCCAGCCUGCCCCUCCAGGGGCCGAGUCUUCUUUUUCUCUCCUGCCAUGGGGACCCUAGCCUCAAGCCUGCCCAGCAUGUGCUGUAGCUGGAGCAUUAAGCCUUCCUGUGUGGCCCGUGCUGGAGCUGACCCUGGACCCCUGUGGGGCACUGUUGGGGGAAAUCCUGACUGCAAAUAAUUCUAGGGGAGGCAGCCGCUGUGGUUCACCCUUUCUGCUCCCUGCGCUGCUGCACCCUAAAAUCCCUGUCGGCCAGAAAAUUGGGCUAGGAGCCUGGAAAGAGGAGGCAAAGGGGUGGCCUGAGCCCCCUCGGGCACUGCCCUACCCCAGGCAGCCCACAGAGACCUGAUGCCUCCCCAAGCAUCACACAGAGAUGUGCCAGCAGCGCUAAGGCAGCUCCCUGCCCACUCUGUCCCCUCCCUCCAUGCUGCACUGCUACUGGAAGCAGCUGGCAUAUCCCUGUGGCCCUGAGUGCAAACUCCAUAGCUGACCCGCCCCCGAAUCCCAUUGCCUAGAAGCCUCUGCAGGAGGGGAGUGUGUGCCGGUCACUUUGGGAGCUGUACUGCCCGAGGUAAGCAACCCCCCCUCCGACCACCUCCUGCACCCCUACCCCUGCCCCAGCACAGAGGCUCUCUGUGUCUUGAACAAGCACUGUCAAGGAUUGACCAAGAACUUCUGCUCUGUUUAUGUGAAAGAGACACAAAAAAGGGAGCCCAGCAGACAAGUUUAAUUCACAAGCACAAACUGGCUGGCCAAGCCAGGAUCUCUCAGUUACUCAGAAGGCUCUUCAGCCAGCUCUUCCCAAAGACCAGUCUCUGGAGGCUUUUGUGACAUGAUGUACCUCAAAAGAGCCCCCUGUAGCUCACAUAUUCAUCAUUCAUAUAUGACUGUGAUAUGUCAUACAAACCAUUCCAUGUAAGUUAUCACAUGAAAAGUCAUGAUCUGCUGAAAUCGGUUAUUCUGUCCAAAUAUGUAUAGCAUGAGGGUGUAUGAAGUUAUGCAUUUUGCUGUAUGGUUGUUACUGAAAUAUGCUAUAAUUUUGCUAGUAACCCCUGCCAAGGAGGGAGUUCAACAACCAUGAAUCAGCAGAGGAAUUGUAAUUAAGAGAUUUCCAAUUCAAUGACAGAUGCCCAAACACAACACUGUGGGGACUGCUCAAGUCUAUGAUUCAGUUGCACAAGACCACACCAGGAGGAUUCCCCAACCUAGUGACUCAGCAGAGCCCACCUGGACACGUCUGGGCAAGUGUCUUCUAGACACUUGAACUAAGGAUAUAAAAGAAGAGACUGUGGCAUCAUGUUUUUGCCUUUCUCCUCUCCCACCUAUGCUGGAAGUAGCAGGAAUCCUGAGAAAAUGAAGGUCAUCUGAGGACAGUAAUCCAAGUUUUAGGUGGAAUUCUUUGUAUUAAGGAGGGUAACAUCCAGUGGGAUGAGAAAAUUGCUUGACCUAACUACUGCCUAGUGUAAUAAGGCGUAAAGUUUAGAUUUUGCUGUGGUCGUACAGUGCUUAGUGCUCUGCACUGUGGCCCCAAGAGCCAUGGAUGCAAGUUGAGUUAGGAUGACCUUUUCCUUGUCUCCA
Molecule: long non-coding RNA, 2396 nt
Organism: Gopherus flavomarginatus (Mexican gopher tortoise)
Lineage: Eukaryota; Metazoa; Chordata; Testudines; Testudinidae
Exons: 3
Source: RefSeq, a predicted model, not a curated record